RNAcentral lists this ribosomal RNA (245 nucleotides) under uncultured bacterium. RNAcentral describes it as "partial 16S ribosomal RNA". It matches the Rfam family "Bacterial small subunit ribosomal RNA", at positions 524 to 768 of the family's 1533-position model. The record is from RNAcentral.
UACAGAGGUCUCGAGCGUUGUUCGGAUUUACUGGGCGUAAAGGGAGCGUAGGCGGUCGGGUGUGUUGAAUGUGAAAGCCCAAAACUCAACGAUGGAAAUGCAUUCAAAACUGCCCGGCUGGAGUACUGGAGAGGAGAGCGGAAUUCUUGGUGUAGCGGUGAAAUGCGUAGAUAUCAAGAAGAACACCGGUGGCGAAGGCGGCUCUCUGGACAGAUACUGACGCUGAGGCUCUAAAGUUAGGGGAG